AAUCAACUUAAUUUCUCCAUUUAAUUUUACUAAAUCUGUUAGGGAAUACAUUUUCCAAUAAAUAACAGGUUUAUCUAGAUCCAUUGAACAAGUAACACAAUUAUUAGACUUGUGUUAUCAUAGCUAUUGAGUUCCAGAAUCCUCAAACUUUUCCACUGCAGAAUCUUCCUGGCUAAAUAAUAGAAAUGUUGUAUUUCUAAUGUCAGAUGGUCAACUAAAUCGCAUGCUAAGUGGCUGCCUGAGGUCAUAAUCAGAAGAAGGACUCUCCAUGUCCCUUAUGCAAAUAGCACUAAGUCCAGAUUCUUCCUCUAAUAGCCAAGUGUCAGACUAACCUUAAUACAUAAACCCACACUCACAGACUGUUGAGCAGAUAUCCAGUAGAAAUUUUUCAGUGAAUGUGCUAUUAGGAGCCUCCAAACUUGUUUUCGACAGAAUUGUUCCAACAGUAAACAUUGGCCCUGGGUGCCAACCUGACACAAUUCUUUGAUGAGCAAUUUUUCUCAUGUAGUGAAGAGAAAAAUAGGUCCCAUUCUUGCCUAAUUGACUUAGCAGUAGCCUAAUAUAGGAAUGAUGCAGAUACAAACUAGUAGUAAUAGAAACUAAUUGUAUAAUUCUGCAUUCUAAAGUAAAAUUUUUGUCUUUUGCAAUCAAGUCUCAAAGCUACUUCUUUAAUUACCAGUACUCUCUCCAACAAUGCCAAUUUUAAGC
RNAcentral lists this long non-coding RNA (708 nucleotides) under Marmota monax (woodchuck). Lineage: Eukaryota; Metazoa; Chordata; Mammalia; Rodentia; Sciuridae. The record is from RNAcentral.